CCCACCAAAUUGAUUAAUUUCCAUGUGCCAAAUUAAUAUAAGGGGCCAUAUAUGCAUUAUUUAUUCAUUAGAAACUUCAAGAACCAAGAACAAAACACAAAGAAGAGCAAAAAUAAGGCCAUUUCGGGUUUGGCCAUAGGAAAAUCACCCCUCAAAAUCUUGCCUCUAAAAUUAUUUUCUUGUGGUAUUCCUACUAAUUUAAUGGUCCUUUACAACUUGGUGUAAUUGUUUUGGAAGAAGGAGCACUUAUUUCUUCAAGUUGACAACUUGUUCAAGUGAAGGAGUUUGUAGAAAAAGAUUUUGAAGGAAACGGGAAUUGAAUUUGGAAAGGCGUAAAGAGCAUACAAGGUACAGACGACAGAUUUGCUGACCCGCCUGCCUAGGACAUCUAUUCUGCUAUAUUGGGAGUGCUCUUUUGUCCAGAGCCUAUAUGUUG
This is a long non-coding RNA of Lycium barbarum (goji berry), 436 nucleotides long. RefSeq lists it as uncharacterized. The transcript has 3 exons. NCBI's taxonomy places the organism in Eukaryota, Viridiplantae, Streptophyta, Magnoliopsida, Solanales, Solanaceae. The record is from RefSeq and is a predicted model, not a curated record.